GGGGCUGUGGCUCAGUGGUUAGAGCAUCUGCUUGGCUUGCAGGAGGCCCCGGGUUCAAGCCCCGGCAGCUCUA
Molecule: non-coding RNA, 73 nt
Organism: Heteronotia binoei (common prickly gecko)
Lineage: Eukaryota; Metazoa; Chordata; Lepidosauria; Squamata; Gekkonidae
Source: the annotation of a RefSeq genome assembly